GGGAACUGAAACAUCUAAGUACCCGGAGGAAGAGAAAACAAUAGUGAUUCCCUAAGUAGUGGCGAGCGAACGGGGAGGAGCCCAAACCGCGGUCUACGGGCUGCGGGGUUGUAGGACCUGCGUAAGUGUAUAUAUCAGAAAUCGAAGCCGCCUGGAAAGCGGCCCCACAGAAGGUGAUAGGCCUGUAGGUGUAACGAUAUAUAGAUGGCGGGUAUCCUGAGUAGCGCGAGGCCGGUGAAACCUUGCGUGAAUCUGCCGGCACCAUCCGGUAAGGCUAAAUACAUCUGCAUGACCGAUAGUGAACCAGUACCGU
This 313-nucleotide ribosomal RNA is filed under the name Pseudictyota dubia. Its description in RNAcentral is "partial Bacterial large subunit ribosomal RNA". It matches the Rfam family "Bacterial large subunit ribosomal RNA", at positions 188 to 504 of the family's 2925-position model. Lineage: Eukaryota; Bacillariophyta; Thalassiosirophyceae; Eupodiscales; Odontellaceae. The record is from RNAcentral.